Molecule: ribosomal RNA, 450 nt
Filed under: uncultured bacterium
Lineage: Bacteria
Description: bacterial SSU rRNA
Rfam family: Bacterial small subunit ribosomal RNA
Source: RNAcentral
UUUUGUCAGGGAAGAAACGGUCUGAUCUAAUACAUUGGGCUAAUGACGGUACCUGAAGAAUAAGCACCGGCUAACUACGUGCCAGCAGCCGCGGUAAUACGUAGGGUGCAAGCGUUAAUCGGAAUUACUGGGCGUAAAGCGUGCGCAGGCGGCUUUGCAAGACAGAUGUGAAAUCCCCGGGCUCAACCUGGGAACUGCAUUUGUGACUGCAUGGCUAGAGUACGGUAGAGGGGGAUGGAAUUCCGCGUGUAGCANUGAAAUGCGUANAUNUGCGGAGGAACACCGAUGGCGAAGGCAAUCCCCUGGACCUGUACUGACGCUCAUGCACGAAAGCGUGGGGAGCAAACAGGAUUANAUACCCUGGUAGUCCACGCCCUAAACGAUGUCAACUGGUUGUUGGACGGCUUGCUGUUCAGUAACNAAGCUAACGCGUGAAGUUGACCGCCUGGG